UACAGAGGGGGCUAGCGUUAUUCGGAAUUAUUGGGCGUAAAGGGCGCGUAGGCGGCCAUGCGUGUCUUCCGUGAAAUCCCUCGGCUUAACUGAGGACGUGCGGAAGAAACUGCAAGGCUCGAGUCCGGGAGAGGGGGGUGGAAUUCCCAGUGUAGCGGUGAAAUGCGUAGAUAUUGGGAGGAACACCGGUGGCGAAGGCGGCCCCCUGGACCGGUACUGACGCUGAGAAGCGAAAGCAUGGGGAGCGAACAGG
RNAcentral lists this ribosomal RNA (253 nucleotides) under uncultured bacterium. RNAcentral's name for it is "partial 16S ribosomal RNA". It matches the Rfam family "Bacterial small subunit ribosomal RNA", at positions 524 to 776 of the family's 1533-position model. The record is from RNAcentral.